UGGACCUAUUACAUCAUUUUUGGA
This 24-nucleotide non-coding RNA is filed under the name Arabidopsis thaliana (thale cress). The record is from RNAcentral. Lineage: Eukaryota; Viridiplantae; Streptophyta; Magnoliopsida; Brassicales; Brassicaceae.